GACGAACGCUGGCGGCGUGCUUAACACAUGCAAGUCGAACGGAAAGGCCUGCUUUCCCUUGUGGAUUGCGGGUACUCGAGUGGCGAACGGGUGAGUAACACGUGAGUGAUCUGCCCCCAACUUGGGUAUAAGCCUGGGAAACUGGGUCUAAUUCCCGAUAGGACUGCAGGGUGGUGCCUGUGGUGGAGAACGAUUUUCUAGUGGUUGGGGAUGAGCUCGCGGCCUAUCAGCUUGUUGGUGGGGUAAUGGCCUAUCAAGGCGGCGACGGGUGGCCGGCCUGGGAGGGUGGACGGCAACGUUGGGACGGAAAUACGGCCCAGACUCCUGCGGGAGGCAGCAGUGGGGGAGAGUGCGCGAAGGGCGGAAGCCUGAGGCGGCGACGCCGCGUGGGAGAGGACGGCCUUCGGGGUGGAAACUCCUUUCGACCGCGAGGAAGCCACCUGGUGGGAAGGGUGGUGACGGUAGUGGUAGAAGAAGCACCGGCGAACUACGU
This 493-nucleotide ribosomal RNA is filed under the name uncultured bacterium. RNAcentral's name for it is "partial 16S ribosomal RNA". It matches the Rfam family "Bacterial small subunit ribosomal RNA", at positions 28 to 506 of the family's 1533-position model. The record is from RNAcentral.